UUUAUCAAAACUUAUGCGCAGACCAAAAACUAAUAAACAAUCAACUCAAUCUUCGAAUUCCACCUACACCUAGGGGAAGAAAAAUCUCAACCUCAUUGAAAAACCCUGAACCCUCUCUUUCUCCUUGCAUCAUUCUAAACCCCUUCUGAAACCCCACACAUUAUUUCUCCAACCGUGCUUCGCAUUGCAUCAAAGCUAUCAUCUAGGGUUUCUUCUUCUUCCACUGCCCUCACUGCAAACCCAUUAUUCCCCACAAGAUUCUCUCCGAUUCCCGCUUCAUCGUUCCGACCAUUCACCAAUGGCUUGGAAUUGGUGGCCAACAUGGUCGUCCUUGACGCCAUCAAGAUGAUCAACGACGCCUUGAGGCAAUGGAGGACUGAAAGAUCACUUGGGGCGUUCAGGAUGGGCUUGUCUGUGUUGAAGAUUUGCAUUACCGAUGAACUGACUGAGGGCAAGGAGCCAAAGCUUGAGAAUUCGAAUGGAAUGGCCGUGCUAGCUAUGUCCACUUUGUUGUUUGAAAGCUACCUUCUUUGUGAUUGUUUGGUUACCUGUGUCUUUGUUCUCAUGUUGGAGCUCAAUUUUUUUUGGAUGAUUCUUUGAACUCAUUGGAGAUAUUGGAGAUAUAUAUUGUGUUAACUUUUCUUUUCUUAGAGAAGAGUAAGCUGAAGCGAUUGAGAAGCCAGAGGGUGUCCAAGAGUUAACAAAUUCUUAUUUGGGUAUUAGAGUUGCUGCUCUUGAAACUUAGGCUGGGCUUCAUCUAUUGAUGAGGCAGGAUGAUUUGGCAGCCAUGGUGGCUGAUAAGUGCAUGAAGGUGGUGGGGAAUCAAGAGAAACCACUAGAAUAUGAGGCACAAUUUGUCCGUGCUAAAGCACCAAAAGGGCUGAUUGAACUUGUCAAUGGCAAUCUAUGAAGCACGGACACUUCAGUCCCUUGCCGUGUCCGGUGUCCGACACGCGUCCGUGUCAGUGUCUGACCGACACGACACCCGUACUACGUUCUAUAUUUGGGACAUUACAGGUGUCCACGUGUCCGUGUCUGUGUCGUGUCCGGUGUCCGUGUCGGUGUUGGUGCUUCAUAGAUGGCAAUACUGACUUAGGUUGUGCUUAAGGUCUAUUUGUUCAUUGCUGUUACUCUUGAUGAACACUAAUUAUGUGCCUGGUGCAGCUGAAGAUUUCUUCGACAAGUCUCUUGCCAAGCAGUAUUGUGAUGGUAUCCUCCCGUUCAUGAGGUACUGGAGCAGGCAUCCUUCAACACCGAAUUGAUGUUUGGUUUUGUAGGUACUGCUGGUCUAUCAUAUGUGGAAUUCCUGCAUAAAAUAGGGAACUAUCCAUUGGCAAAAGAGGUUUACAUAACGUGUACAAGGUGCUACUGAAGUAAAAAAUGCUGGCAGACCAUACUUAGGAGCGGGUAACAUGAGCAUGGAAGAAUUAAUUGUAGGGUCCUUGUGUGCUUUAGGACAGCUUGAAGUACUUAUGGGGUGUAUACGCAGAAGUAGUUAGUGUCCAAAAAAAAGACAGGCAGAAGGGGAGAAGAUGAAAGUACUUGGCUGAGUCUCUAUGGAAACACCGCCGCUGGCUAAAGCUAUUGAUUCAGGGGAGAAUAUCAUAGAUUCUAGAAUUGGCAGGAUUCUGUAAAUUGGUCAAUUUUCUGUGUUUUUACCUUAUUACUGCUAUAGGUUCUUGUUGGACCGUGAUACAUAACCAAUACCAUGGAUUAAUGUUGUGUAGAGUUUGAAAUGUCGUGCCGACAUAUACUAUGAUAUUCAAGAUCGGCUGAUGUAUAUUUAGACCGAAUUUUAAUGAGGUCUUUUUAAUAUUCACUUACAUUAUAUGA
This is a long non-coding RNA of Glycine soja, 1833 nucleotides long. RefSeq lists it as uncharacterized. The transcript has 5 exons. The record is from RefSeq and is a predicted model, not a curated record. Lineage: Eukaryota; Viridiplantae; Streptophyta; Magnoliopsida; Fabales; Fabaceae.